Molecule: ribosomal RNA, 468 nt
Filed under: uncultured bacterium
Lineage: Bacteria
Description: partial 16S ribosomal RNA
Rfam family: Bacterial small subunit ribosomal RNA
Source: RNAcentral
GACGAACGCUGGCGGCGUGCUUAACACAUGCCAGUCGAACGGAAAGGCCCUGCUUUUGCGGGGUGCUCGAGUGGCGAACGGGUGAGUAACACGUGAGUAACCUGCCCCUGACUUUGGGAUAACUUCAGGAAACUGGGGCUAAUACCGGAUAGGAGCUCCUGCUGCAUGGUGGGGGUUGGAAAGUUUCGGCGGUUGGGGAUGGACUCGCGGCUUAUCAGCUUGUUGGUGGGGUAGUGGCUUACCAAGGCUUUGACGGGUAGCCGGCCUGAGAGGGGGACCGGGCACAUGGGGACUAAGGGACGGACCAGACUCCAACGGGAGGCAGCAGUGGGGAAUAUUGCGCAAUGGGCGGAAGCGUGAUGCAGCAACGCCGCGUGCGGAAUGACGGCCUUCGGGUUGUGAACCGCUUUCGCCUGUGACGAGGCGUGAGUGACGGUAAUGGGUAAAGAAGCACCGGCUAACUACGUG